GACGAACGCUGGCGGCGUGCUUAACACAUGCAAGUCGAACGGAAAGGCCCUGCUUUUGUGGGGUGCUCGAGUGGCGAACGGGUGAGUAACACGUGAGUAACCUGCCCUUGACUUUUGGAUAACUUCAGGAAACUGGGGCUAAUACCGGAUAGGAGCUCCUGCUGCAUGGUGGGGGUUGGAAAGUUUCGGCGGUUGGGGAUGGACUCGCGGCUUAUCAGCUUGUUGGUGGGGUAGUGGCUUACCAAGGCUUUGACGGGUAGCCGGCCUGAGAGGGUGACCGGCGACAGUGGGACUGAGAUACGGCCCAGACUGCUACGGGAGGCAGCAGUGGGGAAUAUUGCACAAUGGGCGGAAGCCUGAUGCAGCAACGCCGCGUGCGGGAUGACGGCCUUCGGGUUGUAAACCGCUUUCGCCUGUGACGAAGCGUGAGUGACGGUAAUGGGUAAAGAAGCACCGGCUAACUACGUG
This 468-nucleotide ribosomal RNA is filed under the name uncultured bacterium. RNAcentral describes it as "partial 16S ribosomal RNA". It matches the Rfam family "Bacterial small subunit ribosomal RNA", at positions 28 to 507 of the family's 1533-position model. The record is from RNAcentral.